This is a long non-coding RNA of Peromyscus eremicus (cactus mouse), 708 nucleotides long. RefSeq lists it as uncharacterized. The transcript has 2 exons. NCBI's taxonomy places the organism in Eukaryota, Metazoa, Chordata, Mammalia, Rodentia, Cricetidae. The record is from RefSeq and is a predicted model, not a curated record.
CUACAGCAGCUUGGACUACAAUUCCCAGCAACACUUGAGGGCACGGCUUUCCUUCAUCCUAUGGCUCCCAAAACGUAGUGCUCCUUAAGGUGCACACGCUGGUGUGGAGACCGAGCUCAGGGUACUGCUGUUGCCCUGGCAACGCGAGGUCACCAGUCUGCUGUUCGUGAACUUGAAAUGAGAAGCACUGCUAUUGUGGAUCAUUCCCCAGUUUGAGACAGCUGUCUCUACACACUGAACCGCACUCCAGCUCCUCACUAGAGGUUUCUAGGCAGGAACUCUAUCAUUGAGCCACAUCGCAGCCUCCCACUGGGGAAUGCUAACCCAGUGCUCUACCAUGGAGCUAUGCUCCCAGCACCUUCCUGGGGAGAUUCUAGGCAAAUGUUUUAACACUGAGCCAUACCCAAGCUCCACACUGGUGGAUACUAGGCAAGCACUCUUCUGAGCUAUAGCCUUAACAUGUGCCCCUUCCUAUGCUUUUUAUUUUUAAACAGAGUCUCACUAUGUGGCCCAUGUAGACCUCAAAUUUACAAUCCUUCUGCCUUUGUCCUCCAAGUAGCUAGAAUUACACCUUUGAGCUACAAGGCUGGGUUCAGCUGCGUGGUAGAUAGACCUAGACCAGUGGUUCUCAACCUUCCUGAUGCUGUGACCCUUUAAUACAGUUCCGUAUGUUAUGGUGACCCCCCAACCAUAAACUUAUUUUCUUUA